UACGUAGGGUGCAAGCGUUAAUCGGAAUUACUGGGCGUAAAGCGUGUGCAGGCGGUUAUGCAAGUCAGAUGUGAAAUCCCCGGGCUCAACCUGGGAACUGCAUUUGUGACUGCAUAGCUAGAGUACGGUAGAGGGGGAUGGAAUUCCGCGUGUAGCAGUGAAAUGCGUAGAUAUGCGGAGGAACACCGAUGGCGAAGGCAAUCCCCUGGACCUGUACUGACGCUCAUGCACGAAAGCGUGGGGAGCAAACAGG
Molecule: ribosomal RNA, 253 nt
Filed under: uncultured bacterium
Lineage: Bacteria
Description: partial 16S ribosomal RNA
Rfam family: Bacterial small subunit ribosomal RNA
Source: RNAcentral